CGCGGCCUAUCAGCUUGUUGGUGAGGUAACGGCUCACCAAGGCAACGACGGGUAGCUGGUCUGAGAGGACGAUCAGCCACACUGGGACUGAGACACGGCCCAGACUCCUACGGGAGGCAGCAGUGGGGAAUAUUGCACAAUGGGCGCAAGCCUGAUGCAGCAACGCCGCGUGGGGGACGAAGGCCUUCGGGUUGUAAACCCCUUUUAGCAGGGAAGAAGCGCAAGUGACGGUACCUGCAGAAAAAGCACCGGCUAACUACGUGCCAGCAGCCGCGGUAAUACGUAGGGUGCAAGCGUUGUCCGGAAUUAUUGGGCGUAAAGAGCUCGUAGGCGGUGUGUCGCGUCUGCUGUGAAAAUCCAAGGCUCAACCUUGGACCUGCAGUGGGUACGGGCACACUAGAGUGCGGUAGGGGAGAUUGGAAUUCCUGGUGUAGCGGUGGAAUGCGCAGAUAUCAGGAGGAACACCAAUGGCGAAGGCAGAUCUCUGGGCCGUAACUGACGCUGAGGAGCGAAAGCGUGGGGAGCGAACAGGAUUAGAUACCCUGGUAGUCCACGCCGUAAACGGUGGGAACUAGAUGCGGGGUCCGUUCCACGGAUUCCGUGUCGCAGCUAACGCAUUAAGUUCCCCGCCUGGGGAGUACGG
Molecule: ribosomal RNA, 643 nt
Filed under: uncultured actinomycete
Lineage: Bacteria; Bacillati; Actinomycetota; Actinomycetes; Actinomycetales
Description: bacterial SSU rRNA
Rfam family: Bacterial small subunit ribosomal RNA
Source: RNAcentral